Molecule: ribosomal RNA, 253 nt
Filed under: uncultured bacterium
Lineage: Bacteria
Description: partial 16S ribosomal RNA
Rfam family: Bacterial small subunit ribosomal RNA
Source: RNAcentral
UACGGAGGGUGCAAGCGUUAUCCGGAUUUACUGGGUUUAAAGGGUGUGUAGGCGGGCUAUUAAGUCAGUGGUGAAAUCUCCGGGCCCAACCCGGAAACUGCCAUUGAUACUAUUAGUCUUGAAUUUUGUUGAGGUAGGCGGAAUAAGUCAUGUAGCGGUGAAAUGCAUAGAUAUGACUUAGAACACCAAUUGCGAAGGCAGCUUACUAAGCAAAUAUUGACGCUGAGGCACGAAAGCGUGGGGAUCAAACAGG